This 468-nucleotide ribosomal RNA is filed under the name uncultured bacterium. Its description in RNAcentral is "partial 16S ribosomal RNA". It matches the Rfam family "Bacterial small subunit ribosomal RNA", at positions 28 to 507 of the family's 1533-position model. The record is from RNAcentral.
GACGAACGCUGGCGGCGUGCUUAACACAUGCAAGUCGAACGGAAAGGCCCUGCUUUUGUGGGGUGCUCGAGUGGCGAACGGGUGAGUAACACGUGAGUAACCUGCCCUUGACUUUGGGAUAACUUCAGGAAACUGGGGCUAAUACCGGAUAGGAGCUCCUGCUGCAUGGUGGGGGUUGGAAAGUUUCGGCGGUUGGGGAUGGACUCGCGGCUUAUCAGCUUGUUGGUGGGGUAGUGGCUUACCAAGGCUUUGACGGGUAGCCGGCCUGGGAGGGUGACCGGCCACAUUGGAACUGAGAUACGGCCCAGACUCCUACGGGAGGCAGCAGUGGAGAAUAGUGCACAAUGGGCGGAAGCCUGAUGCAGCAACGCCGCGUGCGGGAUGACGGCAUUCGGGUUGUAAACCGCUUUCGCCUGUGACGAAGCGUGAGUGACGGUAAUGGGUAAAGAAGCACCGGCUAACUACGUG